Eriocheir sinensis (Chinese mitten crab) is the source of this 1683-nucleotide long non-coding RNA. RefSeq lists it as uncharacterized. The record is from RefSeq and is a predicted model, not a curated record. The transcript has 3 exons. NCBI's taxonomy places the organism in Eukaryota, Metazoa, Arthropoda, Malacostraca, Decapoda, Varunidae.
CUACAUUAGUCUACCCAGCCCUUCAGACAAGCUCUUUUCAUCCUUUUGUUGACAUGUAGAAAUUUUUUGAGUACACAUAUUUCCAGGUCCUUCCUUGUCAUGAUUGAAGUUUCAAAUGAUUAUGUGAUUUUCUGGCAAACUACAUUAGUCUACCCAGCCCUUCAGACAAGCUCUUUUCAUCCUUUUGUUGACAUGUAGAAAGCCUUUGAGCGUACAUAUUUCCAGGUCCUUCCUUGUCAUCAUGGAAGUUUCAAAUGAUUACAUGAUUUUCUGGCAAACUGCAUUAGUCUACCCAGCCCUUCAGACAAGCUCUUUUCAUCCUUUUGUUGACAUGUAGAAAGCCUUUGAGCGUACAUAUUUCCAGGUCCUUCCUUGUCAUCAUGGAAGUUUCAAAUGAUUACAGGAUUUUAGGGCAAACUGCAUUAGUCUACCCAGCCCUUCAGACAAGCUCUUUUCAUCCUUUUGUUGACAUGUAGAAAUUUUUUGAGUACACAUAUUUCCAGGUCCUUCCUCGUCAUAAUUGAAGUUUCAAAUGAUUACAUGAUUUUCUGGCAAACUGCAUUAGUCUACCCAGCCCUUCAGACAAGCUCUUUUCAUCCUUUUGUUGACAUGUAGAAAGUCUUUGAGCGUACAUAUUUCCAGGUCCUUCCUCGUCAUCAUGGAAGUUUCAAAUGAUUACAGGAUUUUAGGGCAAACUGCAUUAGUCUACCCAGCCCUUUGCAACCCUUCCUCAUUCAUUUGUUGACAUUUAUAGAGUUUCAUGUUCAUCUUUACACAUUACUUCAGGUCCUUGCAUAACCACAUCGCCUUAAUUUAUGCAGCCAUCCUAUUGAACCAUUUUUGCCGUAGAGUAACUCAGACACAUUCCCCCUUUCUGUCUUAGUUUUGUUUGUAGAUUGAAUUUUUCCCUCUCCUCCGUGGCUGGACGAGAGACGCUUUAGUGUAGAAACUCUUCAUAACAGUUGCCCAAGUGCUCCCGAGGAUGAUAUUUUUAUGCGGAGAAACAGUUGUCAAAAAGUAGCUGGAGGGAGUCAGGUGGGAUUUUCAAGUCUAGCAAACAGACUAAUGAAAAGAAAAUGGAUUAAUGUUUUUUUUUCCUAGCGUAGAGGUUAUUUAAGAAGGUUGGUGGAUUAAAGAGCCAAGUGGAUAGAAAAGGGAAAAGUAGCAGGAAAGAUUGUGGUGGGAUUUUAAAGUCUAGCAAAAAAGGCCAAGGAAAAAUGGAUUAAUGUUUUUUUCCAAGCCUAGCAUAGAGGUUAUAUAAGAAGGUCGGUGGAUUAAAGAGCCAAGUGGAUAGGAGAGUGAAAAGUGGCAGGAAAGAUUGAGGUGGGAUUUUAAAGUCUAGCAAAAAAGGCCAAGGAAAAAUGGAUUAAUGAUUUUUUUUUUUUUUUUUUUUUUUUUUUUUUUUACAGCCUAGCGUAGAGGUUAUAUAAGAAGGUCAGUGGAUUAAAGAGCCAAGUGGAUAGGAGAGUGAAAAGUGGCAGGAAAGAUUGAGGUGGGAUUUUAAAGUCCGGUAACAAGGAAGGCUAAUGAAAAAAUGGAUCAAUGUUUUUUUUUCAAGCUUAGCGUAGAGGUUAUAUAAGAAGGGCGGUGGAUUAAAGAGCCAAGUGGAUAGAAAAGGGAAAAGUAGCAGGAAAGAUUGAGGUGGGAUUUUAAAGUCCGGUAACAAGGAAGGCUAAUGAAAAA